Molecule: ribosomal RNA, 328 nt
Filed under: uncultured Bacillota bacterium
Lineage: Bacteria; Bacillati; Bacillota
Description: bacterial SSU rRNA
Rfam family: Bacterial small subunit ribosomal RNA
Source: RNAcentral
GAUGAACGCUGGCGGCGCGCCUAACACAUGCAAGUCGAACGAAGAUAUCUGUAGCAAUAUGGGUAUCUUAGUGGCGGACGGGUGAGUAACGCGUGAGGAACCUGCCUUUCGGAGGGGAAUAACACAUCGAAAGAUGUGCUAAUACCGCAUAACGUCAUCGGGUGGCAUCACUUGAUGACCAAAGGAGCAAUCCGCCGAAAGAUGGCCUCGCGUCCGAUUAGAUAGUUGGUGAGGUAAUGGCCCACCAAGUCAGCGAUCGGUAGCCGGACUGAGAGGUUGAACGGCCACAUUGGGACUGAGACACGGCCCAGACUCCUACGGGAGGCUG